Molecule: ribosomal RNA, 448 nt
Filed under: uncultured bacterium
Lineage: Bacteria
Description: bacterial SSU rRNA
Rfam family: Bacterial small subunit ribosomal RNA
Source: RNAcentral
CAGAACGAACGCUGGCGGCAGGCCUAAAACAUGCAAGUUGAACGGCCAUAGCAAUAUGGCAGUAGCGCAAGGGUGAGUAAUGUAUGGGAACGUAUCUUUUGGUGGGGAAUAUCUUUGGAAACGAAGAGCAAUACCGCAUAAGCCCUACGGGGGAAAGAUUUAUCGCCGAUUGAGCGGCCCAUAUUGGAUUAGCUAGUUGGUUAGGUAACGGCUGACCAAGGCUGUGAUCCAUAGCUGGUCCGAGAGGACGAUCAGCCACACUGGGACUGAGACACGGCCCAGACUCCUACGGGAGGCAGCAGUUAGGAAUAUUGGACAAUGGGGGCAACCCUGAUCCCAGCCAUGCCGCGUGAGUGUUAAGGCCUUCGGGUUGUAAAGCUCUUUUGUAUGGGAAAAUGAUGAUGGUACCAUAAGAAUAAGCACCGGCUAACUUCGUGCCAGCAGCCGC